AGAUAAACAGUAGAGGGGCUUUGCUACUUUCUAUAUCAUUUUAUUUAAAUAAAAAAUGUACGGAUAAAUACAAAGAUAAUGUCAAAUAAAAUCACAGCGGUCCAAUUAAGAUCUUUUACAAAACCUGUCAGUUGCCGUUUAACUAUAUUAAAGGAACGCCCAUUAUUCAAUAUUAAUGAAAUAUACACUGUUGUAACAACAAAAUUAUGAUUCUUGUCACUUUUUUUAUUUAACAAACAAAUAUUAGACAUAAAAGUCACGGUUAUUUGUUAAUUAAGCACUGCAAUGUCUUUAAUAUGGCUCGCGUUUUCUCAGACAACUUCCCGUUUUCUUUUAAUCUUUUCCUGCUGGUUGAGGAUUGUUAGUGGUGGAGUGACCCCUUGUUAGCCACUCAGAAGAGGCCGGCCAUUAACACGCCUCGGACGCGAGCCGGUCAACCUGACCAAAUGUAAACUCUAUUAUAAUACAAUACCUAUUAAUUCGCAUAUUUUGCGUCUCUCUAAUCAAUGUAAACAAAUAUUGAAAUUCCUUUAGAUGAUUAUAUUUCAAAUGCAUGGAGCAACUAUAGGAAAUACUCAUGCUAUAUUCAUUUGAAUCCUAGGUUUGUCGAAAUAACCAUUAAAAGAAGGCACCAAGCCGGAAAUAAAUAUAUAGGUAGCAGUAACAAAUGUGAAUAUCAUUCAAAAUUAUGUACUACCAGAAAUCCUGACUAAAUGUCCAAGAUUUGCUUAGGUGCGCGCAUGCAUAUAACUAUAUUAAUAUAGUCAACCACCACCCUGCACUUAAUUGGUGUGAGGAGCAUAGUUAGCAACUUAAAGUAUAUGCAUAACUGCCUUACCGCAGAUGUAAAUGUUCAGCUUACAAUACUCAACUAUUAAUAUAUUCAUUAAACUAAUGAAGAUGGCCACUUUUAAAAGUCUUUACGAGUACUAGAAAACAGUUAUAAUAAUCCUUACAGUAUAUACACAAGUCAUAGGCCAAAUCCAUAACGAGGCUAUCGGGUAUAAUCACCCCCCCCCCCCCAGGAUUGGGUCGUUAACCCUGUACCCUCCAACCCAACAAGCUGGCGCGCCUGACCCCAAACAGCCAGACUACUCCUGGCCGCUGUUCAAGCACCACACCACUUCUUAAGGCUCCCAAAGGGUUGGUGGCGACGUACAACACAACUGGACUAUAAUGGACAUCACUGACAACGGCAAUGAAACUGAACUUCUAUGCAAUUAACGCAACGUGCAGCAACACGGCCAAUAACUACAACUUUGGCGGCAAGCUUAAGAUCUGAGCAGACUUCUUGAGUGCACGCGACACGUCUGUGUCAAUGGCAACACAACCAUCAUGGCAUCGGAUAACUGACUUCCUACGUCAACUUAGACUGCAACUUCCGCCUUUGUCACUACUUCAACAGACUUCUGAACGAUAAAGGAAGAUCGUGACGCAACUAUACACAUUUUGCUCCAAGGCAAUUGUUAUUACUAGAUAUUAUAUAAUAAAACAUUAUAUUUCCAAA
Molecule: long non-coding RNA, 1507 nt
Organism: Procambarus clarkii (red swamp crayfish)
Lineage: Eukaryota; Metazoa; Arthropoda; Malacostraca; Decapoda; Cambaridae
Source: RefSeq, a predicted model, not a curated record